GAUGAACGCUGGCGGCGUGCCUAAUACAUGCAAGUCGAGCGAACAGACGAGGAGCUUGCUCCUCUGACGUUAGCGGCGGACGGGUGAGUAACACGUGGAUAACCUACCUAUAAGACUGGGAUAACUUCGGGAAACCGGAGCUAAUACCGGAUAAUAUAUUGAACCGCAUGGUUCAAUAGUGAAAGACGGUUUUGCUGUCACUUAUAGAUGGAUCCGCGCCGCAUUAGCUAGUUGGUAAGGUAACGGCUUACCAAGGCAACGAUGCGUAGCCGACCUGAGAGGGUGAUCGGCCACACGGGAAUUGAGACACGGUCCAGAACCCUACGGGGGGCAGGAGUAGGGAAUCUUCCGGAAGGGGCGAAAGCCUGAGGGAGCAACGCCGCGGGAGGGAUGAAGGUCUUCGGAUCGUAAAACUCUGUUAUUAGGGAAGAACAAAUGUGUAAGUAACAAUGCCCGUCUGGACGGUACCGAAACAGAAAGCCCCGGCUAACUAGGU
This 496-nucleotide ribosomal RNA is filed under the name uncultured bacterium. RNAcentral's name for it is "partial 16S ribosomal RNA". It matches the Rfam family "Bacterial small subunit ribosomal RNA", at positions 28 to 506 of the family's 1533-position model. The record is from RNAcentral.